RNAcentral lists this long non-coding RNA (257 nucleotides) under Elaeis guineensis (African oil palm). RNAcentral describes it as "long non-coding RNA (EGUI_LNC072358)". Lineage: Eukaryota; Viridiplantae; Streptophyta; Magnoliopsida; Arecales; Arecaceae. The record is from RNAcentral.
GAGAUAAAAUUUUAUUGUAAUACUUUUAACUCUUAAAAGCAAGCAAACCAAAAUCUAUUUCCAGGUAGACCUUACUGAUUUUAAUCUGUUGUCCAGAAAGAUAGCAACCCAAUAGGGGGGUGAAUUGGGUUGUUUAAAAUUUUAACUAAAUUCUAAAAUCUAAACAAGUAUGUACUUCAAGUUAAUCUAACUAAUCUAAUUGUAAAGUAUUUGAUAUAUGCAGUAGUGGAUUUAAGAUAUAAGAGAAAUAAUAUGAU